This 903-nucleotide ribosomal RNA is filed under the name Bacillus subtilis. RNAcentral describes it as "partial 16S ribosomal RNA". It matches the Rfam family "Bacterial small subunit ribosomal RNA", at positions 551 to 1460 of the family's 1533-position model. The record is from RNAcentral. Lineage: Bacteria; Bacillati; Bacillota; Bacilli; Caryophanales; Bacillaceae.
UCACUGGGGCAGAAACCCCCCGCAGUUGUUUUAUAACUUGGAUAUGAAAGCCCCCCGCCUCACCCGGGGGGGUCUUGGAAUCUGGAGCCUUGAGUGCAGAAGAGGAAAGUGAUUUCCAUGUGUAGCGUGAAAGGCGUAGAUAUAGGGAGGACCACCAGUGGGGAAGGCGGCUUUCUGGUCUGUAACGACACGGAGGCGCGAAAGCGUGGGGACCAACCGGGAUUAGAUCCCCUGGUAGUCCACACGUAAACGAUGAGUGUUAAGUGUUAGAGGGUUUCCGCCCUUUAGUGCUGAAGUUAACGCAUUAAGCCCUCCGCGGGGGGAGUCCGCCCCCAAGGAUGAAACUCAAAGGAAUUGCCGGGGGCCCCCCCAAGCGGUGGAGCAUGUGGUUUAAUUGGAACCACCGCGAAGACCCUUACCAGUUCUUGCCAUCCUUUGACAACCUUAGAGAUAGGGCUUCUCCUUCGGGACCAAAGUCACAGGUGGUCCAUGGUUCUCGUCAGCUCGUCUCGUGAGAUGUUGGGUUAAGUCCCCCACCGAGCGCAACCCUUAUUUUUAGUUGCCAUCAUUAAGUUGGGCACUUUAAGGUGACUCCCGGUGACAACCCGGAGGAAGGUGGGGAUGACGUCAAAUCAUCAUGCCCAUUAUGACCUGGGCUACACCCGUGUUACAAUGGAAGGUACAAAGAGUUGCAAACCCGCGAGGUGAAGCUAAUCUCAUAAACCUUUUCUCAUUUCGGAUUGUAGCCUGCAACUCGCCUACAUAAAGCGGGAAUCGUUAGUAAUCGCGGAUCACCAUGCCGCGGUGAAUACGUUCCCGGCCCUUGUACCCCCCCCCCAUCACCCCACGAGAGUUUGUACCACCCGAAGUCGGUGGGGUACCCUUAUGGAGCCAGCCGCCUAA